This is a long non-coding RNA of Salvia splendens (bonfire salvia), 1148 nucleotides long. RefSeq lists it as uncharacterized. Lineage: Eukaryota; Viridiplantae; Streptophyta; Magnoliopsida; Lamiales; Lamiaceae. The record is from RefSeq and is a predicted model, not a curated record. The transcript is spliced from 3 exons.
UCCAGCUUCCGAAAGAUUGGUCGAGGAUUCACAGUAGAAUCCUUUAAUGCAUUCACGACAUGUCGGGAGAAAUCUUAGUAUAAAAAGAGGAGUUAUUUUUCUUCACCAUCACACAAAAAUGUAGUUUCACAACACCUCCGACAUACAAUCUUUCACCAAAUUACUACACACUCAAAAUCUUCCAACCCACUUCAACCUUUUCUCCUUCAAGCAAACAAGAGAAGGAACCGUGAAGAUAGUAAAAGGAUUCCUUUUCCAAUUCAUCAAGUUUUGCCAUUUUUCCUCUAAGUAUGUUUUCACGCUAAAUUCAUUCUUUUUCAAGCGUAUCUUUUAGCAUGUAGAAAAAUCAUACAGAACAUCGAUCAAAGUAAAGCAUGCUCCCUUUAUUGUCAAAUAUGCCAUAUUUUUAUUCCAAAUUCAAGAAACCUCCUCUCCGAUCAUUACAAAACCGACAUUGCUACUGUUGAAAACGACAGCCACUUCAGAAAUUAAUAAUGGAAGAUCUAACUGUUAAAAUUAGAUCUCCUUCGGUAGGAAUGAUGCUUUAUGAUUAAUCCACCUUUGGUUAAAUUUUUGUGAUGAUCGGAUAUUAUUUGGACCUCCGAACGUGAAGGAAACCGAGACUAUCUAUCUCUUGUUUGGCGGAAAAGAAAGAGAAAGAGAGGGAGAGAGAGGGAUAUGUUGAGAGACAAUGAGUAAUAAGAAGAUGGAAGCGUGAGCGGUCCAGCAAGGGAGAGUCCCUACUCGGACUAGUUUACACGUGGACUGUGGGUCAUCGAAAGGGUUGGCUGGUCUGGUGACCGUGGAAAGUGGCCACUUUCCCGUCACAAGAUGUUUCAAAUACGACGAAUUACUAAAAGAACUUAGAUCGCGCAAUCGAACUUUUAAGUAUGAGAUUUUGGUUGAGUUGUGAUGGAGUAGAGGGUGAUGAUCCAAGUGGGGCUUACUCUUGUGUCUAUACAGUACUCUCGGAGGUUCUGUCUUCAUACGUGGAACCGCGUUUAAUUGUUUCCGUUGUGCUAUUUAAGCAAGUUAAAUCAUGCUUUCUCCUUAUGACUCACAAUUGAUAAACAGUAUUGUAUGAACCUUUAACUCGAAUCUUUAUGAUUGAGCGUAUCCUAUUCAAGUAUUCCAUUUGAGAUGCUUCA